CAGCCGCCGCGGUAAUACGUAGGGUGCAAGCGUUAAUCAGAAUUACUGGGCGUAAAGCGUGCGCAGGCGGUUUGUUAAGACGGAUGUGAAAUCCCCGGGCUCAACCUGGGAACUGCAUUCGUGACUGGCAAGCUAGAGUAUGGCAGAGGGUGGUGGAAUUCCACGUGUAGCAGUGAAAUGCGUAGAGAUGUGGAGGAACACCGAUGGCGAAGGCAGCCCCCUGGGCCAAUACUGACGCUCAUGCACGAAAGCGUGGGGAGCAAACAGGAUUAGAUACCCGUGUAGUCCCUGUCUCUUAUAU
RNAcentral lists this ribosomal RNA (301 nucleotides) under uncultured bacterium. RNAcentral's name for it is "partial 16S ribosomal RNA". It matches the Rfam family "Bacterial small subunit ribosomal RNA", at positions 509 to 809 of the family's 1533-position model. The record is from RNAcentral.